RNAcentral lists this ribosomal RNA (468 nucleotides) under uncultured bacterium. Its description in RNAcentral is "partial 16S ribosomal RNA". It matches the Rfam family "Bacterial small subunit ribosomal RNA", at positions 28 to 507 of the family's 1533-position model. The record is from RNAcentral.
GACGAACGCUGGCGGCGUGCUUAACACAUGCAAGUCGAACGGAAAGGCCCUGCUUUUGUGGGGUGCUCGAGUGGCGAACGGGUGAGUAACACGUGCGUAACCUGCCCUUGACUUUCGGAUAACUUCAGGAAACAGGGGCUAAUAACGGAUAGGAGCUCCUGCUGCAUGGUGGGGGUUGGAAAGUUUCGGCGGUUGGGGUUGGACUCGCGGCUUAUCAGCUUGCUGGUGGGGUAGUGGCUUACCAAGGCUUUGACGGGUAGCCGGCCUGAGAGGGUGACCGGCCACAGUGGGACUGAGCUACGGCCCAGACUCCUACGGGAGGCAGCAGUGGGGAAGAUUGCACAAUGGGCGGAAGCCUGAUGCAGCAACGCCGCGUGCGGGAUGACGGCCUUCUGUUUGUAAACCGCUUUCGCCUGUGACGAAGCGUGAGUGACGGUAAUGGGUAAAGAAGCACCGGCUAACUACGUG